Molecule: ribosomal RNA, 253 nt
Filed under: uncultured bacterium
Lineage: Bacteria
Description: partial 16S ribosomal RNA
Rfam family: Bacterial small subunit ribosomal RNA
Source: RNAcentral
UACGUAGGGGGCAAGCGUUGUUCGGAAUUACUGGGCGUAAAGGGCGCGUAGGCGGCACGGCAAGUCAGGAGUGAAAGCCCUGGGCUCAACCCGGGAACUGCUUUUGAAACUGCCGAGCUGGAGUGCGGAAGGGGCAACUGGAAUUCCCAGUGUAGCGGUGAAAUGCGUAGAUAUUGGGAAGAACACCUGAGGCGAAGGCGGGUUGCUGGGCCGACACUGACGCUGAUGCGCGAAAGCCAGGGGAGCGAACGGG